Molecule: ribosomal RNA, 465 nt
Filed under: uncultured bacterium
Lineage: Bacteria
Description: partial 16S ribosomal RNA
Rfam family: Bacterial small subunit ribosomal RNA
Source: RNAcentral
CCUACGGGAGGCAGCAGUAGGGAAUCUUCCACAAUGGGCGAAAGCCUGAUGGAGCAACGCCGCGUGGGUGAAGAAGGUCUUCGGAUCGUAAAACCCUGUUGUUAGAGAAGAAAGUGCGUGAGAGUAACUGUUCACGUUUCGACGGUAUCUAACCAGAAAGCCACGGCUAACUACGUGCCAGCAGCCGCGGUAAUACGUAGGUGGCAAGCGUUAUCCGGAUUGAUUGGGCGUAAAGGGAACGCAGGCGGUCAUUUAAGUCUGAUGUGAAAGCCUUCGGCUUAACCGGAGUAGUGCAUUGGAAACUGGGAGACUUGAGUGCAGGAGAGGAGAGUGGAACUCCAUGUGUAGCGGUGAAAUGCGUAGAUAUAUGGAAGAACACCAGUGGCGAGAGCGGCUCUCUGGUCUGUAACUGACGCUGAGGUUCGAAAGCGUGGGUAGCAAACAGGAUUAGAUACCCUUGUAGUC